AGUGGGCGCACAUUAAGGGGACCGCUGGCGCUAAGUCAGAGGAAGGAGAGGUCAACGGUAGGUCAGUAUGCCCCGAAUCUCCCGGGCUACACGCGCGCUACAAAGGACAGGACAAUGGGAUGCAAUACCGAGAGGUAACGCCAACCCCGAAACCUGUUCGUAGUUCGGACUGAGGGCUGUAACUCGCCCUCACGAGGCUGGAUUCCGUAGUAAUCGCGGGUCAACAUCCCGCGGUGAAUAUGCCCCUGCUCUUU
RNAcentral lists this ribosomal RNA (254 nucleotides) under uncultured Thermoplasmatales archaeon. Its description in RNAcentral is "partial 16S ribosomal RNA". It matches the Rfam family "Archaeal small subunit ribosomal RNA", at positions 1084 to 1338 of the family's 1478-position model. Lineage: Archaea; Methanobacteriati; Thermoplasmatota; Thermoplasmata; Thermoplasmatales. The record is from RNAcentral.